This 402-nucleotide ribosomal RNA is filed under the name uncultured fungus. RNAcentral describes it as "SSU rRNA". It matches the Rfam family "Eukaryotic small subunit ribosomal RNA", at positions 555 to 961 of the family's 1831-position model. The record is from RNAcentral. Lineage: Eukaryota; Fungi.
GCAAGUCUGGUGCCAGCAGCCGCGGUAAUUCCAGCUCCAAUAGCGUAUAUUAAAGUUGUUGCAGUUAAAACGUCCGUAGUCAAACUUUAGUCUUACCGGCGCGGUGGCCUGGUCUUCAUUGAUCAAGCUCGCUGUCGCUGGAGACUCCACGUCCGCUGGCUCCUAGUCCUCGUGGCUAGGGUUUUGUGGACAAUUACCAUGAGCAAAUCAGAGUGUUUAAAGCAGGCUUUUAAGCUUGAAUGUGUUAGCAUGGAAUAAUGAAAUAUGACUUUAGUCCUAUUUUCGUUGGUUUAGGUACUUCAGUAAUGAUGAAUAGAAACGGUUAGGGGCAUUUGUAUUUGGUCGCUAGAGGUGAAAUUCUUGGAUUGACCGAAGACAAACUACUGCGAAAGCAUUUGCCAA